This is a long non-coding RNA of Paramisgurnus dabryanus, 854 nucleotides long. RefSeq lists it as uncharacterized. Lineage: Eukaryota; Metazoa; Chordata; Actinopteri; Cypriniformes; Cobitidae. The record is from RefSeq and is a predicted model, not a curated record.
UUAGAUGUCGCUGUAGAUUUAGCAGUACAUUACUGUAAAAAUCCACAGUACUAUACUGUAUGUAUACAUUACAGUACAGUACUGCAGUUCAUAAUGCAUUCUGGGUAAAUUUGUUUGAGCGGGAAAAUUUUACAGUAUAUUUUGGUCUUGAUGUAACCUUGCUGUAGCCAUUGCUGUAAUGUGCCAGGUGUACUUGCAAUAAUCAGAGAAAGUGCGCCAGAGUCAAAUCACACAGAGGGAGAGAGAGCACAACUCCUGGCUGCAGCUGAAGGAGGAUGAUUGAUUUCUGGCAGUUCGUCUUACCAUUGCUUGUAAGCUGGAUUGGGUAAGAUGGAUCAUCUUUAAAGGCACCAGGAGUUAAGGCAGAUGUGGAGGCACAACGUGUGAUACCAGACACACACCAAGCACAUUAUGUUCGGACAUUCAAUCAUGACAGGAUCCAGGUGGAUGCUGUCCAUUGAAGAAAGAGUUUGUUCAGCGGUUUCUGGAUAGAAUUAAUUCCAAAGAUGGGAAAAAGUGCACAUCCAGACAAGGAGCAAGCAAAAAGACAAGGAACUUGGUGCAGAGAAAAGCUGUGGCCAUUAACCCCCAUGUGAACAGCUUCAUGCAGUCCCUGAUUGAGUUCGAAUGGACGACUUCAAAGUAAAGGCCACUGUGGUCUGUCUGCCACAGUUUAAUGCAUUUAUUUUUAGUGUUAAAUGAAAUUCAAGUAGAAUAUUUAAAAUUAUGGGCCAGUGUUCUUUUUACCACAGUGAAAUGUUACCUUUUAGUCGAUGAUGGACUUUAAACUGAAAACUUCAAACUAUGGAACAGUGUUCUAUUUGCCAGAGUUAAAUAUGUUACAGCAGGGGUCU